UACGUAGGGCGCGAGCGUUGUCCGGAAUUAUUGGGCGUAAAGAGCUCGUAGGCGGCUUGUCACGUCGAUUGUGAAAGCCCGAGGCUUAACCUCGGGUCUGCAGUCGAUACGGGCUGGCUAGAGUGUGGUAGGGGAGAUCGGAAUUCCUGGUGUAGCGGUGAAAUGCGCAGAUAUCAGGAGGAACACCGGUGGCGAAGGCGGAUCUCUGGGCCAUUACUGACGCUGAGGAGCGAAAGCGUGGGGAGCGAACAGG
RNAcentral lists this ribosomal RNA (253 nucleotides) under uncultured bacterium. RNAcentral describes it as "partial 16S ribosomal RNA". It matches the Rfam family "Bacterial small subunit ribosomal RNA", at positions 524 to 776 of the family's 1533-position model. The record is from RNAcentral.